UUGAGAGAGAGAUAGGUAGCACGCUACCCGCUUCGUUUAUUUCAUUUUUUAGAAAUAAAUUUAGCUAGAAAUGUGAAUCAACUAGGAUUCGAACUUGGGUCUCGGGUACCAACCAUCAAGUCCUUUGUCACUUGCUCUAGGGACAGUCGGUACGAGAUGUUGGUACGCACUAACAGGAAUUGUAAAUCUCACACUCUUCUUCCUUCGGCCCAUAUUUCGGUUUCGUUUGGAAUUGUAGAGAUAUUGCGUUACGUGCGGUAAAAAAGUACGACGGAAAAAUAUCAUGUUUGCUUUCGUACACAAUAUUGCAUUUCGUAUAUUGCUAUGAGUCGAUUACGAUAUAUUUUUUACGGUCCCAUAAAAAAUGCAGAAGUAUAUCUCUAAAUGUUUUUAUCCUAAUUUUAUUUUAUCUAAUAAUAACAUCAAAUGAACCUCAAUACCAAAAUAAGUCUGUGUAGGAAUGUCAGCGGUCGGAUUUGAGGCUGAUUUUCAAAAACCCGAAUCCAAACUCGACUUCAAAACCAAAACCCGAAUCUGAAUCUGGCGGGUUUUAAAAUUCCAUACCUAAACCCGAACCUGACAAAAAAUUCAAAAUCGAACCCGAAACAGUUUUUUUUCUUUUACUAUUUCAAAAUAUAUUACAUUAAAUCUAAAAUUUUAAUAUAUAAAUUUGAAUAUAAUAUUAAUUUUUUAUAUACAUAUUAUAUAUAAUGUAAAAUAAAUCUAGGGUUGGCUCGGGUUUGGGUUUGGAUUGGGUACGAUCAAAAUUCAUAUCAGGAUCUAUAUCCGCCGCGUUUUUGUUUUUG
Molecule: long non-coding RNA, 806 nt
Filed under: Ananas comosus (pineapple)
Lineage: Eukaryota; Viridiplantae; Streptophyta; Magnoliopsida; Poales; Bromeliaceae
Description: long non-coding RNA (ACOM_LNC032409)
Source: RNAcentral